UAAGGAAUAUUGGUCAAUGGGCGCAAGCCUGAACCAGCCAUGCCGCGUGCAGGAAGACGGCCCUACGGGUUGUAAACUGCUUUUGCAGGGGAAUAAACCCCGGUACGUGUACCGGGCUGAAUGUACUCUGAGAAUAAGGAUCGGCUAACUCCGUGCCAGCAGCCGCGGUAAUACGGAGGAUCCAAGCGUUAUCCGGAUUUAUUGGGUUUAAAGGGUGCGUAGGCGGCCUAUUAAGUCAGGGGUGAAAGACGGUAGCUUAACUAUCGCAGUGCCUUUGAUACUGAAGAGCUUGAAUACACUAGAGGUAGGCGGAAUGUGACAAGUAGCGGUGAAAUGCAUAGAUAUGUCACAGAACACCAAUUGCGAAGGCAGCUUACUAUGGUGUGAUUGACGCUGAGGCACGAAAGCGUGGGGAUCAAACAGGAUUAGAUACCCGUGUAGUCC
This 444-nucleotide ribosomal RNA is filed under the name uncultured bacterium. RNAcentral describes it as "bacterial SSU rRNA". It matches the Rfam family "Bacterial small subunit ribosomal RNA", at positions 355 to 796 of the family's 1533-position model. The record is from RNAcentral.